Camelus dromedarius (Arabian camel) is the source of this 1510-nucleotide long non-coding RNA. RefSeq lists it as uncharacterized. The record is from RefSeq and is a predicted model, not a curated record. Lineage: Eukaryota; Metazoa; Chordata; Mammalia; Artiodactyla; Camelidae. The transcript is spliced from 2 exons.
GUCCUCCGCAGCCCCGCCGGGAGCCCAGGGCGGGGGCUUGGGGAAAGGCGUGCCGGCAUCCUUUGAGGGUUCACAGUUGUCAUAGGAGCAAGUGUUUCCAGAAGGAAAAUGAAAUCAACAGUCUUAAACCCAGCACAGAGCUGAAGUAAGAUAAGGACUUAGAUAUUUCAGCAGACUAGUGGGAGCAAACCCUGGUGGCAGUGGGGCAAGUGGUGAAUGGAAGGUAAGUAGAAACCACCUUUUCCUGGAAGUGUGAAUGAGAAACAGAGGGUUUCUAAUGUGGGAGAAGAUUAAGUUUUUUUAUUGACUGAGAGGAAGACAGUAUUAGACCAAGAUUACAGGACAGAUACAGUGGCUGGACGACUGGUGGAACAAGGUACCCAAGAUGAAGGGCCGAGGUCUGGAGAGCAGUAGUGCAGUUCCCACUGGGUUGAACCCGGGGUUGACACGUAAGACCUGCAGAAAGGCGGUUAGAACGGCCGGGGGUGAGAGGAUGUUUAGGUAGGGCUGUUGGAGAUCAAACUAGAGCUGGCCUCAAUUUUCUUGAUACUCUAAGAGGUAAGGCAGUCUUUGAGAGUAAGAGGGUGGGGAUUAAACUGGGGGCUUGAUGGUGGAGAGAAACGUUGUUGAGGGGACUAAGAGAGGAAGCUGACCCAGGGUACGUGUAAUAAUCGAUGAGCGGUGCUGAGGGCCUGCGUUAUGUUAGGCACCACAGAUCUACUGUGGCACCUGCUUCAGUUGUGUGGUUUUUCUCCAGGCAGUGCUUCUGCCUGGAAUAGAAGCAGAUCUUAGCACUAACUCCUAACUCACACCAAUUUCGGUUUAAGGGAAUGGUAGGGUGUAACUUGAAUAAGUCUUAAAAUUGCCUUGCACUUCUUCAUGAUGAAAACACUCAACAAACUCAGAAAAGAAGGGAACUUCCUCAGUCUGAAGGGGGCAUGUGCAGAAACCUUACAACUAAGGUCAUACUUAAUGGUAAAGACUGGGUGCUUUCCCGCUGGGAUAAGGAACAAUGAUGUAUGCUCUCCCCACUUCCGUUCAGCUUUGUACUGGAAGUAGCCGAGACAGCUCAGCAAGAAAACAGAACAAAAAGCAUCCAGAUUGGAAAGGAAGAAAUAAAACUAUUGCUAUUUGCAGAUAACAUGACCUUGUAUAAAGUCCUGAGGAUUUUCUAAAAAUUUAUUAGGAUGAGUUCAGCACGGUUGUAAGCUGUAAGAGCAUUCUACAAAAGUCGGUUGUAUUUCUGUACACUUGCAAUGGACAACCUAACAAUGAAAUUAAAAAACAAUUUCAUUUACCAUUGUAUGAAAAAGAAUGCAAUCCUUAGGUGUAAAGUUAACAAAUGAAGUGCAAAACUGACACUGAAAAUUUAUGAGAGAUUAUUGAAAGGAACUGAAGAAGCCCUGAAUAGAUGAAAAGACAUCCCAUGUGCAUGGACUGGAAGACUUGAUUGUUAGAAUAGCUGUGCUCCCCAAUGCCUAUUACAGUCCCAGCGGUCAUCUUUGAAGAA